Molecule: ribosomal RNA, 253 nt
Filed under: uncultured bacterium
Lineage: Bacteria
Description: partial 16S ribosomal RNA
Rfam family: Bacterial small subunit ribosomal RNA
Source: RNAcentral
UACGUAGGGGGCUAGCGUUGUCCGGAAUCAUUGGGCGUAAAGCGCGCGUAGGCGGCCCGGUAAGUCCGCUGUAAAAGUCAAAGGCUCAACCUUUGAAUGUCAGUGGAUACUGCCGGGCUAGAGUCCGGAAGAGGCGAGUGGAACUCCUGGUGUAGCGGUGGAAUGCGCAGAUAUCAGGAAGAACACCCGUGGCGAAGGCGGCUCUCUGGUACGUGACUGACGCUGAGACGCGAAAGCGUGGGGAGCGAACAGG